RNAcentral lists this ribosomal RNA (490 nucleotides) under uncultured bacterium. RNAcentral describes it as "partial 16S ribosomal RNA". It matches the Rfam family "Bacterial small subunit ribosomal RNA", at positions 28 to 507 of the family's 1533-position model. The record is from RNAcentral.
GAUGAACGCUAGCUACAGGCUUAACACAUGCAAGUCGCGGGGCAGCAUGGGGGUUGCUUGCAAUCCCCGAUGGCGACCGGCGCACGGGUGAGUAACGCGUAUCCAACCUGCCCUUCACCACGGGAUAACCCGGCGAAAGUCGGACUAAUACCGUAUGUUGUCCAUUGACGGCAUCCGAUUUGGACGAAAGGUUUGGCGGUGAAGGAUGGGGAUGCGUCCGAUUAGCUGGACGGCGGGGUGACGGCCCACCGUGGCGACGAUCGGUAGGGGUACUGAGAGGAAGGUCCCCCACACUGGAACUGAGACACGGUCCAGACUCCUACGGGAGGCAGCAGUGAGGAAUAUUGGUCAAUGGGCGUAAGCCUGAACCAGCCAAGUAGCGUGCAGGAUGACGGCCCUAUGGGUUGUAAACUGCUUUUAUGCGGGGAUAAAGUGGCCCACGUGUGGGUUUUUGCAGGUACCGCAUGAAUAAGGACCGGCUAAUUCCGUG